This 94-nucleotide small nuclear RNA is filed under the name Arabidopsis lyrata subsp. lyrata. The record is from RNAcentral. Lineage: Eukaryota; Viridiplantae; Streptophyta; Magnoliopsida; Brassicales; Brassicaceae.
GACAAAGCGAUUGUUACCUUCACAAAAAUUGGAAUAUUAGCAUGGCCCCUGUGCUAGGAUGACACGCUUAAUUCGAGAAAUGGUCCAAAUUUUU